CCCCUCGUAGCUCAAAUGGAUAGAGCAAUGGUGUCCGAAACCGUAGGUUGCAAGUUCGAUUCUUGCCGAGGGUU
Molecule: transfer RNA, 74 nt
Filed under: Hyunsoonleella aquatilis
Lineage: Bacteria; Pseudomonadati; Bacteroidota; Flavobacteriia; Flavobacteriales; Flavobacteriaceae
Rfam family: tRNA
About the family: Transfer RNA (tRNA) molecules are approximately 80 nucleotides in length. Their secondary structure includes four short double-helical elements and three loops (D, anti-codon, and T loops).
Source: Rfam by way of RNAcentral